UCGAGAAUCUUCCCCAAUGGCCGAAAGGCUGAGGGAGCGACGCCGCGUGCAGGAAGACGCUCUUCGGAGUGUAAACUGCUUUUCUUGGGGAACAACUCUGAGUGUACCCAAGGAAUAAGGGGCUGCUAACUUCGUGCCAGCAGCAGCGGUAAUACGAAGGCCCCGAGCGUUAUCCGGAUUUAUUGGGCGUAAAGCGUUCAAAGGCGGUUUAGUACGUGCUUCGUCAAAUCCAGUGGCUCAACCACUGGACCGCGGGGCACACGGCUAGACUUGAGGGCGGAAGAGGCAAGCGGAACUACCGGUGUAGUGGUAAAAUGCGUUAAUAUCGGUAGGAACACCAAAGGCGAAGGCAGCUUGCUAGUACGUACCUGACGCUAAAGAACGAAAGCGUGGGGAGCGAAUGGGAUUAGAUACCCCCGUAGUCC
RNAcentral lists this ribosomal RNA (425 nucleotides) under uncultured bacterium. RNAcentral describes it as "bacterial SSU rRNA". It matches the Rfam family "Bacterial small subunit ribosomal RNA", at positions 355 to 796 of the family's 1533-position model. The record is from RNAcentral.